GUCGACACUUCCACGACGGUCUCCGUGAUCACAUCAGGCCUCAUGGCAGCAUGGACAAAUUCUGGGGUCGACACACAGGGGGGCACGAAUACCUGGACUGCACAACGGAGCUGCUGCAAGUCACCAGGAGUCGAAUUCUUGUUUGGUGAAAGGGCUUCAAAAACUUUAGCAAGUAUCAUCUCAGAAACACUCCGUACUUCAAGACUACAGAUGCAAAUCAGGAAAUGUGCCCAACAGAUGACAUCUGAUUUUUGUUUUAUAUACUUCUAAAUCCAUCAGCACCCUCAAGUGUCGCGGAAGCUUCCAGCAAAACUUUUUUAUUACGUUCUUCCCUAUCAAUGAGAUCUGUGUCCCCGCCACAGGACCUGCUAUUGUAAAGCGAGCAGCCGUAAGCUGGCACCCAAUUAAAGUGUCAGAACUCAACCAGCAUUUACGCAGUCAGAAAUCCAACUCGGCUGCACGGGUAAAGGCUGGUUGAAGAAUCCAUAUGGAGUAAUGCCUCUGCUGCCUCAAUCGUCUUAUCUGUACAGUGGACAUGACUGCUAUGGACAGAUGCUUCGACUGUGAAAUUAAGAAAACAAGCUACAUAAAUGACUGACAAGUUGGGAAACAGAACAAAUGGCUCUGAGGCAUCUUCUUGAGGGAGCAUACUAAAUAUGGACUGCUUCCUGCUAACUCUGCAUGGCGAAAGCAGAAGAACGAGAAAUUUUCCAACACUGAUAUUUUUCACCUUGCAAAGUACCAAGGAAGACAAAACUAAAAAGUUAAGGAUCUUCCGUAGAUAUGUGCCAUCAACAACUGAGAAUGAAUGAAUUGGCUCCUGUAAAAAGAAGUUCGCCAUUAAAUCUUGUGCAACUGUCCUGGUUUGGAGCAGUCAAUUAAUAGACACAAACUGGAAAUCUGUAUGUAAUGCUACACCACAAAACAGAUAAUUGUACAAAACACGUGAUCCAUGUUAUCUGUGAAGAAACCUCUCCCAGAAUUGUUGCAUACAAGUACCAUUUAUGCUCCCUCCCAUUGCCUAGUGCAAGCACAGUAUCCAACACUUUCAAAGCAGAGAAAAAUCUCAGUAUUGCACAGCAGCCAUGAAUUUAUUUUUCAAUUUUUGCACAGCAGCCUUGCCGCACAAUAAUUCAGAAAUAAAUAAAUUCAAUAAUAAAUAAAGCAGACUUUAAACAUUGCUCCAUGGCUAGAAUGCUGCCAGAAAAUGUACUGACACAUACUGACACAUGUCAA
Long non-coding RNA from Rhincodon typus (whale shark), 1236 nucleotides. RefSeq lists it as uncharacterized. NCBI's taxonomy places the organism in Eukaryota, Metazoa, Chordata, Chondrichthyes, Orectolobiformes, Rhincodontidae. The transcript is spliced from 5 exons. The record is from RefSeq and is a predicted model, not a curated record.